GAUGAACGCUGGCGGCGUGCCUAAUACAUGCCAGUCGAGCGAACAGACGAGGAGCUUGCUCCUCUGACGUUAGCGGCGGACGGGUGAGUAACACGUGGAUAACCUACCUAUAAGACUGGGAUAACUUCGGGAAACCGGAGCUAAUACCGGAUAAUAUAUUGAACCGCAUGGUUCAAUAGUGAAAGACGGUUUUGCUGUCACUUAUAGAUGGAUCCGCGCCGCAUUAGCUAGUUGGUAAGGUAACGGCUUACCAAGGCAACGAUGCGUAGCCGACCUGAGAGGGUGAUCGGCCACACUGGAACUGAGACACGGUCCAGACUCCUACGGGAGGCAGCAGUAGGGAAUCUUCCGCAAUGGGCGAAAGCCUGACGGAGCAACGCCGCGUGAGUGAUGAAGGUCUUCGGAUCGUAAAACUCUGUUAUUAGGGAAGAACAAAUGUGUAAGUAACUAUGCACGUUUUGACGGUACCUAAUCAGAAAGCCACGGCUAACUACGUG
This 497-nucleotide ribosomal RNA is filed under the name uncultured bacterium. RNAcentral describes it as "partial 16S ribosomal RNA". It matches the Rfam family "Bacterial small subunit ribosomal RNA", at positions 28 to 507 of the family's 1533-position model. The record is from RNAcentral.